AGGCACCUCUGAGCAAGUAGCAGGAACCCUCUGCAGCAAAAAGUAGUGGGAAAACAGCACCGAUCCAUGGGUGAAGGGACAGUUUGGGUAACUACACCUGCUGCUGCAAGGCCCUUGCUGUAGGGUGUGGAAAGCUGUGACACUGGCUGCAUGACCAGCCUGACUGGUGUUGUCGCUGCAAGGGAAGAUAAGACCUGCUUUACUUCAGUGUUUGUCCUGUGCCUGGCCCAAGGCCUCUGCUCAACCCUCUACAACAGCAAGGCUGUAAAGCUCAAGUGAUUCUUGUGAAAGACCAGCUAGCACUGGAAGCUCUGCCCUUAAGUCUCCAUUUGCCCUGCUUGCUGCCUAAAUGGUCUGAUAAUGGUGCUGUUGCUGGUCUUUGACUUGAUUCAGGUUUCUUUGAAGGUAACACCGUGACUUCUCCUUCCAUAGUUUCUGGAAGCAUGCCCUCUGCUUGACUGAGUCAUGCUCUGUGGAUUUAUAAUUAUCUGUGUUGCCUACAUAUCCAUUAAGGGAUUUUAUAUGUUAAUCUCACAAGAUGUACUGCUCACUUUGGUACUUUCAUCUCACCGUGUGCCUGCGAGCUCUGCCAGCAGUGCGCUGGGCUAGCUGCAGGGCAAGCAGAGGUGAGGACGGGCACUGCCCCUGACUCACUGCCUCCGCUCUUCUCUGACCCCAGAGUGGUUCCUGGCACCGGGGAGAUACUUCCAGAUCGGCACCGAGCCCUGGGGCUUUCAGCAUUGGCACUUUGGCUCCGCUUCCUGCACCUCUGAGAGUAACGAGUGGUUCUGCAUUAGCAAAAUCAGCUCUUACUGAACUACAGAGUCUGCAGGGCCAUAGAAAUGGGCUACAUCUGGUUUGAGGAACUAUGUUGCCUUUACAGGAUUUUCUCCUGGAAGUAAUGAUAACAAUGCAUAAGGCAUGGAAAGGACAAAGUGUCAACACUACCCACUGAUCUAAGAAUAUGUGGAAAUAAUGUUUCAGACUAUGAAAAUCAAAUUUUAAUACAAUUUGAAUAUGGUUUAAACCCUGUAUUGGCUCCAGCUGUUGGACAGGAAACGAAACUGUGCUAAAGCAAAUGAUCAACCAUCCCUGUGCACGAGAAGUUGGUUCAUUUCCAGUUUUCUAUUGCUAUGGUAGUUCACUACUUAUUGUCUAGGCUGAGGUUAUUUGUAAAGAUAGCUACCAAGCAGCAUUUGAAUGUCUAUUUUACAAUUGUGUUAUUUCAAGCACUUGUUUGCUUAUACAAAGUAACAUUCAGUAAAGUGAUGUUGAGCUUUAUACUGUGAUUACACCCAUUCACAAGAGCACUAUGUGGUGGUUUUCUUCACCUAAGAAUUACUGUUUUUGUAAAAUAGCUCUAAUAGCUGUGUGAACAUUCUCGGUGAAUAUAUUACAGAUGAACAUUCAUGUAUUGUUUUAGAUCUUGAUUCAUAUUAAAAGCAAUAUAAAAACCUCCCAAUUGGAGUUUCUGCUCUAAAUGACAAUUUAUGAUGAAGUCUUAGGUUUU
Molecule: long non-coding RNA, 1510 nt
Organism: Cygnus olor (mute swan)
Lineage: Eukaryota; Metazoa; Chordata; Aves; Anseriformes; Anatidae
Exons: 4
Source: RefSeq, a predicted model, not a curated record